RNAcentral lists this ribosomal RNA (753 nucleotides) under uncultured bacterium. RNAcentral's name for it is "bacterial SSU rRNA". It matches the Rfam family "Bacterial small subunit ribosomal RNA", at positions 59 to 803 of the family's 1533-position model. The record is from RNAcentral.
CAGUCGAACGGAGCCUUACCAAAGAAGCAGCCAGCUUGCUGGAAGCGGAAAAGGGAAAGGCUUAGUGGCGGACGGGUGAGUAACGCGUGGGUAACCUGGCCCAUACAGGGGGAUAACACUUAGAAAUAGGUGCUAAUACCGCAUAACAACAGAAAGCGCAUGCUUUUUGUUUGAAAACCAAGGUGGUAUGGGAUGGACCCGCGUCUGAUUAGCUGGUUGGCGGGGUAAAGGCCCACCAAGGCGACGAUCAGUAGCCGGCCUGAGAGGGUGGACGGCCACAUUGGGACUGAGACACGGCCCAAACUCCUACGGGAGGCAGCAGUGGGGAAUAUUGCACAAUGGGGGAAACCCUGAUGCAGCGACGCCGCGUGAGUGAAGAAGUAAUUCGGUAUGUAAAGCUCUAUCAGCAGGGAAGAAGAUGACGGUACCUGAGUAAGAAGCCCCGGCUAACUACGUGCCAGCAGCCGCGGUAAUACGUAGGGGGCAAGCGUUAUCCGGAUUUACUGGGUGUAAAGGGAGCGUAGACGGCUGCGCAAGUCUGAAGUGAAAGCCCGGGGCUCAACCCCGGGACUGCUUUGGAAACUGUGUAGCUAGAGUGCUGGAGAGGCAAGCGGAAUUCCUAGUGUAGCGGUGAAAUGCGUAGAUAUUAGGAAGAACACCAGUGGCGAAGGCGGCUUGCUGGACAGUAACUGACGUUGAGGCUCGAAAGCGUGNGGAGCAAACAGGAUUAGAUACCCUGNUAGUCCACGCCGU